Long non-coding RNA from Ictalurus punctatus (channel catfish), 2100 nucleotides. Lineage: Eukaryota; Metazoa; Chordata; Actinopteri; Siluriformes; Ictaluridae. The record is from Ensembl.
GUGACUUAUUGUCCAGCUCUGACACCUCACUGCUGUGGAGUAUGUGCUCCAGUAAAUGAUGAUGUGCUUCAUGGGAAAUCAAGGCCGCAGUGUUAUUCCUCUUCAUCCCGUGCAUCAUUGGCGUCUUAUUGUGUUCCCGGAGCUCAGUAAGUGAUUAACAAGCAUCAGUAAGCGAUGCUGAAUACAAUGCUUUCCUGCUUUGAAAUUAAAAUGCCGAGUGGACUUAAUGCCGAGUGGACGAGUGAACACAUCACACCUGGGGUGUGCUUAUUUAUGCACACAAGAGUUCUAGGUUCAUCAUAAGCUGUAAUUCUGAAUGAUAGAUUUUUAUUUUAUAUAUUUUCAUCUUUCAUAUUUGUAAACAUUAUCCCGUAUCAUAUCGUGUCAUGCUGUUGUGUAGCUUGCUGUAUAGUGUCAUGUUAUUGUGUAGCUGCUAUAUUUUGUAAUGUUGUUGCUGUAUAGUGUCAUGUUGCUGUAUCGUGUGCUGUAUAGUGUCAUGUUGUUGCUCUAGUGUCAUGUUGUGUAGCUGCUGUAUCGUGUCAUGUUGUUGUGUAGCUGCUGUAUCAUGUCAACUUGUUACUGUAUAGUGUCAUGUUGUUGCUAUAUUGUGUCAUGUAUAGUGUCAUGUAGCUGCUUUAUUGCGUCAUGUUGCUGCUGUAUAGUGUCAUGUAUAGUGUCAUGUUGCUGUAUCGUGUCAUGUUGUUGUGUAGCUGCUGUAUUGUGUUGUUGUGUAACUGCUGUAUAGUGUCAUGUUGUUGUGUAGCUGCUUGUAUUGUGUCAUGUUGCUGUAUUGUGUCAUGUUGUUGAUGUAUUGUGUCAUGUUGUUGCUGUAUAGUGUCAUGUAUAGUGUCAUUUUGCUGUAUCGUGUCAUGUUGUGUAGCUGCUGUACUGUGUCAUGUUGUUGCUGUAUCGUGUCAUGUAUAGUGUCAUGUAGCUGCUUUAUUGUGUCAUGUUGCUGUAUAGUGUCGUGUUGCUGUAUAGUGUCAUGUUGCUGUAUAGUGUCAUGUAUAGUGUCAUGUUGUUGCUGUAUCAUGUCAUGUUGUGUAGCUGCUGUAUCGUGUCAUGUUGGUGUGUAGCUGCUGUAUCGUGUCAUGUUGCUGUAUAGUGUCAUGUUGUUGCUGUAUCAUGUCAUGUUGUUGUAUAGCUGCUGUAUAGUGUCAUGUUGUUGCUGUAUAGUGUCAAGUUGCUGUAUCAUAUCAUGCUGUUGUUGUAUAGUGUCAUGUUGUUGCUGUAUAGUGUCAUGUAUAGUGUCAUGUGUUGCUGUAUAGUGUCCUGUUGUUGCUGCAUCGUGUCAUGUUGUUGCUGUAUAGUGUCAUGUUGUUGUAUCGUGUCAUGUUGUUGCUGUAUAGUGUCAUGUUGUUGCUGUAUAGUGUCAUGUUAUUGCUGCAUUGUGUCCUGUUGUUGCUGCAUCUUGUCAUGUUGUUGCUGCAUCGUGUCAUGUUGUUGUGUAGCUGCUGUAUCGUGUCAUGUUGUUUGUCAUGUUGCUGUAUCGUGUCAUGUUGUUGUGUACCUGAUGUAUUGUGUCAUGUUGUUGCUGUAUCGUGUCAUGUUGUUGUGUAGCUGCUGUAUCGUGUCAUGUUCCUGUAUAGUGUCAUGUUGUUGUGUAGCUGCUGUAUCGUGUCAUGUUGCUGUAUCAUGUCAUGUUGUUGCUCUAUAGUGUGAUGUUGUUAUGUAGCUGCUGUAUCAUGUCAUGUUGCUGUAUCGUGUCAUGUUGUUGUUCUAUAGUGUGAUGUUGUUAUGUAGCUGCUGUAUAGUGUCAUGUUGUUGUGUAGCUGCUGUAUCGUGUCAUGUUGUUGUGUAGCUGCUGUAUCGUGUCAUGUUGUUGUGUAGCUGCUGUAUCACAGACUCAGAUUUCUUCAGUGAACAAACAGAACUGUAAUUCACUCUGAGCAUGAACAUCGCUUAAAUGACUUGAAAAAUCUGUCUGGCAGGCAGAGGUUUGACACAAGCCUCAUAAAAGCCAAGGCGGCGUUAAUUAACAUCCAAAUCUGCAAGUGAAAUCUUUCAAAUUCCUCAUCGAGAAAGAGAAACACAAACGGAAACGCAAAAUUAAUUUCCACAAAUAGGCACUGCGCUGGACAAGGUUAUGAAACUUCAGCG